CAAGUCGAGCGGGAUGACGGGAGCUUGCUCCUUGAUUCAGCGGCGGACGGGUGAGUAAUGCCUAGGAAUCUGCCUGGUAGUGGGGGACAACGUUCCGAAAGGAGCGCUAAUACCGCAUACGUCCUACGGGAGAAAGUGGGGGAUCUUCGGACCUCACGCUAUCAGAUGAGCCUAGGUCGGAUUAGCUAGUUGGUGAGGUAAAGGCUCACCAAGGCGACGAUCCGUAACUGGUCUGAGAGGAUGAUCAGUCACACUGGAACUGAGACACGGUCCAGACUCCUACGGGAGGCAGCAGUGGGGAAUAUUGGACAAUGGGCGAAAGCCUGAUCCAGCCAUGCCGCGUGUGUGAAGAAGGUCUUCGGAUUGUAAAGCACUUUAAGUUGGGAGGAAGGGCAGUAAGUUAAUACCUUGCUGUUUUGACGUUACCGACAGAAUAAGCACCGGCUAACUCUGUGCCAGCAGCCGCGGUAAUACAGAGGGUGCAAGCGUUAAUCGGAAUUACUGGGCGUAAAGCGCGCGUAGGUGGUUCGUUAAGUUGGAUGUGAAAGCCCCGGGCUCAACCUGGGAACUGCAUCCAAAACUGGCGAGCUAGAGUAUGGUAGA
This 603-nucleotide ribosomal RNA is filed under the name Stutzerimonas stutzeri. RNAcentral describes it as "bacterial SSU rRNA". It matches the Rfam family "Bacterial small subunit ribosomal RNA", at positions 58 to 655 of the family's 1533-position model. The record is from RNAcentral. Lineage: Bacteria; Pseudomonadati; Pseudomonadota; Gammaproteobacteria; Pseudomonadales; Pseudomonadaceae.